UAACAAAAAGUUCCCAAUUUCGCUCCUUUGAAGUUCAAUUAUCACGUGAGCGCCCAACAAUUCUUGCAACAUGAAAUCAGUAUAGAAAUGGGUUAAUUUGAUAUUAGAGAAAGAGGAAAACACGGCAAGUGUAAGCAAGAGUAGUUCACCUGUUCCCAAUUUUCCUCCUUUGAAGUACAAACACCAUGUGAGUGACCAGCAAUCCCUGCAACAUGAAAUCAAGUGUCUGCAGGAGUAACAGUUGACCUACUGGCUUGAAGAAGGAACUCACAAAACCCAUCUCCCAAAUCAUGUAAAAAUUCAAACUUUUUGGUUAGAAUAGACGUUUCGAAUUGGGUUUGGUAGAAUAGGUGCUUGGAAUUGGAUUUGCUCAGAAUAGGCGCACCAAAUUUUUGCUCAGAAUAGCUGUCUGGUAGAGAGAAAGGAAGAAAAGGCUUCAACGGCA
RNAcentral lists this long non-coding RNA (445 nucleotides) under Coffea arabica (coffee). Its description in RNAcentral is "long non-coding RNA (CARA_LNC007734)". Lineage: Eukaryota; Viridiplantae; Streptophyta; Magnoliopsida; Gentianales; Rubiaceae. The record is from RNAcentral.